This 496-nucleotide ribosomal RNA is filed under the name uncultured bacterium. RNAcentral's name for it is "partial 16S ribosomal RNA". It matches the Rfam family "Bacterial small subunit ribosomal RNA", at positions 29 to 507 of the family's 1533-position model. The record is from RNAcentral.
AUGAACGCUGGCGGCGUGCCUAAUACAUGCAAGUCGAGCGCACAGACGAGGAGCUUGCUCCUCUGACGUUAGCGGCGGACGGGUGAGUAACACGUGGAUAACCUACCUAUAAGACUGGGAUAACUUCGGGAAACCGAAGCUAAUACCGGAUAAUAUAUUGAACCGCAUGGUUCAAUAGUGAAAGACGGUUUUGCUGUCACUUAUAGAUGGAUCCGCGCCGCAUUAGCUAGUUGGUAAGGUAACGGCUUACCAAGGCAACGAUGCGUAGCCGACCUGAGAGGGUGAUCGGCCACACUGGAACUGAGACACGGUCCAGACUCCUACGGGAGGCAGCAGUAGGGAAUCUUCCGCAAUGGGCGAAAGCUUGACGGAGCAACGCCGCGUGAGUGAUGAAGGUCUUCGGAUCGUAAAACUCUGUUAUUAGGGAAGAACAAAUGUGUAAGUAACUAUGCACGUCUUGACGGUACCUAAUCAGAAAGCCACGGCUAACUACGUG